Long non-coding RNA from Lycium barbarum (goji berry), 1600 nucleotides. RefSeq lists it as uncharacterized. The transcript has 4 exons. NCBI's taxonomy places the organism in Eukaryota, Viridiplantae, Streptophyta, Magnoliopsida, Solanales, Solanaceae. The record is from RefSeq and is a predicted model, not a curated record.
CUCCACUGUAAUCAGCAUGGUUGGUCUCAUAAGAUUAAUUGAAGAAGACUCUUACCAUAGCUUAUAGAUGAGAGAGAAAAAGAGCACGUGAAGGAUCUCGAGUUCUUAUCUGUGCCCAUAGAGGGACUUGCUUUUAUGGAAUCAACUUUUCUUUUGGGGAGUCGUGAAUUUCCUGUGCUAAACCUGAACAUUCAAUCAAGUUGAGGAGAUUUCAUGCCAGUAUGCAUCACGGAGCUUGGUACGGUGGCAGCUUAUCUAGGAAGUUAGCUGAACGAGGAGUCAAGCUUCUGGGUUUUUCUUGUGAUGAUGGUCAGACUCACAAGAGUGGUUCAAGGUUUUGGAUAUUAAAAGUUUCUAGAAAGUGUUGAAUGUCAAGAUUUGACUCUACAUGUUAUAUCUAACUUCAUGUUAGCUUAUCUGAUUCCAUGCGGAAGUCAAUUAAGCCAUGUAGUUCACUUUUCACCUCCUUUCUUGAUCAAAACAUUCUUGUGAAACUUUUUCAUGAAAAAGAAUGAACCUAUUUCUAUUUGUUUAAUUCUAAGUAUGUUAAAGUGUUUGUGGACGUUAAUCAUACGCUUUUGAGUUGCUAAACAGAUUGUUUCUCUAGAACUGUCCAUUUGGAUAAUUUUUCUACUUCUAUGACUUACAUGUAGGUUAUUUUGGUAGUGAGUUAUUCCGAAAAUGACAUUCUAAACAAAAGAUUGAGAUUCUAUAAAGAAGAGGGAAAAGUUUGGAGUUCCAAAUGGAUUCCAUGAAGGCUAUAAUGUAGCACCUUAAGGCUGAUACUUCAUUUUUACUUGGUCUUUUAGUACAAUUGACCAAGACACCUAUUAAUGCUUCUGUCCCCAUGCACUACAGAUGCCAAGAAAUAAACUCAUCUUGGACCAUAUCUGUUUAGUUAGAUAGAUCAAGCAUUUGCUGAUUUUAUUUGUUUUAACUGAAAACAAUGAUAUUCAUGAAACUACCAAGUUAUCUGAUGUAGCUGAUAAGAAAGUGCCUUAGGAAAUAUUGCCUGGACAUGCUCAAAACCGAAUUGGCAUCAUUCAGUACGGAUGGUUCUAAUCUUCAUGAAAGGUACUGAGCAACAACUUCUUCAAUGGAUUCUCAAGAUUAUUGCAGGAAUUCCAGUUCCAAAUGGCAGUUAAAAGUUCAUUUUGCUUCCCAAUUGAGGUUGUCAAAUUUUGCUGAAGAUAGUUCUAAUGUAUUGCUAAUUAGUGUUUUUUCAGAUUCCUUCCAAUAUUUUUUUAUGGUACUGAAGUAGCUUGGAGCAUAUGCUUCCUAAUAAUCUUUUUGCUUCUCCCACAGAUUAGCUGCAGACCAGCAAACUGUAUUCUCACUAGUUCAACUGAAGCUCGUGUUAUUUCCACAUGCUAAGGUGAGACGAUCUCAGGCAGCCAGCUUAAACAGUGAGUAAAAUGAUAGAUGUCAGUCGGUGGAGGAAUUGCUUGGACAGAGAAUGAGGACAUGUCAGUAACCGUUGAGCUUCUGUCACUGUCAGUACAAUAUUAAAAUUGAUGUCUUUUUUCUCAUAUGUUUUAUAAGAAAUUCAUGAGUACUUAUCUUUUGUGUUAAAGAUUGCAAGUCAUUUAUUUUAAAACAA